This 239-nucleotide long non-coding RNA is filed under the name Homo sapiens (human). RNAcentral's name for it is "HSALNT0066254". Lineage: Eukaryota; Metazoa; Chordata; Mammalia; Primates; Hominidae. The record is from RNAcentral.
CCGGGGUCCGCUUUGGCCAGAGGCGCGGAAGGAAGCAGUGCCCGGCGACACUGCACCCAUCCCGGCUGCUUUUGCUGCGCCCUCUCAGCUUCCCAAGAAAGGGACAAAAGUGGGGAUUGGAGCAGUGAGGAUGCAUAAUAGGCUGUUUUCUCCUAUAGGCUGAGAAUACCUGAAGGUAAAGGCUGCACUGAAGCCCCUGUGCUUUCUCCCAGGUGGCGAAGUGUUGGCCUGGUGCACUG